UGAAUACGAGGCACUAAGGUGCUGAAGUAGUGUAUGUCAUACUUCCAAGAAAAGCUUGCACUAUCGUAAGAUAAAAAUGCCUGUACCAUAACCGACACAGGUGGGUAGGUAGAGUAUACUAAGGGGCGCGAGAUAACUCUCUCUAAGGAACUCGGCAAAAUAACUCCGUAACUUCGGGAGAAGGAGUGCCUUAUUCUAUAAGGUUGCAAUAACAAGAUCCAAGCAACUGUUUAUCAAAAACACAGGUCUCCGCUAAGUCGUAAGACGAUGUAUGGGGGCUGACGCCUGCCCAGUGCCAGAAGGUUAAAGAAGUCGGUUAGCAAUUGCGAAGCUGGUAACUGAAGCCCUGGUGAACGGCGGCCGUAACAAUAACGGUCCUAAGGUAGCGAAAUUCCUUGUCGGGUAAGUUCCGACCCGCACGAAAGGCGUAAUGAUUUGGAUACUGUCUCGGAGAGGGACUCGGUGAAAUAGACUUGUCUGUGAAGAUGCGGACUACCUGCACCAGGACAGAAAGACCCUAUGAAGCUUUACUGUAACUUGAAAUUGAAAUUGGACUUUAUUCGCGCAGUAUAGGUGGGAGGCGUUGAUUAUAAUCUUGUGGGAUUAUUGGAGCCAUUAGUGAGAUACCACUCUUGUAAUGUUAGAUUUCUAACUUUGAAUCAUGAUCUGGUCAAAGAACAGUUUCAGGCGGGCAGUUUGACUGGGGCGGUCGCCUCCUAAAUGGUAACGGAGGCGUACAAAGGUUUCCUCUGAACGGGUAGAAAUCGUAUCUAGAGUGUAAAGGCGUAAGGAAGCUUGACUGUGAGACCUACAAGUCGAGCAGGGACGAAAGUCGGUCUUAGUGAUCUGACGGUACUGAGUGGAAAGGCCGUCACUCAACGGAUAAAAGUUACUCUAGGAUAACAGGCUGAUCUCCCCCAAGAGUUCACAUCGACGGGGAGGUUUGGCACCUCGAUGUCGGCUCAUCGCAUCCUGGGGCGGUAGUACGUCCCAAGGGUUGGGCUGUUCGCCCAUGAAAGCGGUACGCGAGCUGGGUUCAGAACGUCGUGAGACAGUUCGGUCCAUAUCCGGUGUAGGCGUUAGAAUAUUGAGAGGAGCCUUCUUUAGUACGAGAGGACCGAGAAGGACAUACCUCUGGUGUACCAGUUAUCGUGCCAACGGUAAACGCUGGGUAGCUAUGUAUGGAGUGGAUAACCGCUGAAAGCAUCUAAGUGAGAAGCCCACCUCAAGAUAAGUAUUCUC
RNAcentral lists this ribosomal RNA (1242 nucleotides) under metagenome. RNAcentral's name for it is "bacterial LSU rRNA". It matches the Rfam family "Bacterial large subunit ribosomal RNA", at positions 1564 to 2815 of the family's 2925-position model. The record is from RNAcentral.